Molecule: ribosomal RNA, 1358 nt
Filed under: Microbacterium flavescens
Lineage: Bacteria; Bacillati; Actinomycetota; Actinomycetes; Micrococcales; Microbacteriaceae
Description: bacterial SSU rRNA
Rfam family: Bacterial small subunit ribosomal RNA
Source: RNAcentral
GCCCAGCUUGCUGGGUGGAUCAGUGGCGAACGGGUGAGUAACACGUGAGCAAUCUGCCCCUGACUCUGGGAUAAGCGCUGGAAACGGCGUCUAAUACUGGAUAUGAACCGUGGAGGCAUCUUCAACGGUUGGAAAGAUUUUUUGGUCAGGGAUGAGCUCGCGGCCUAUCAGCUUGUUGGUGAGGUAAUGGCUCACCAAGGCGUCGACGGGUAGCCGGCCUGAGAGGGUGACCGGCCACACUGGGACUGAGACACGGCCCAGACUCCUACGGGAGGCAGCAGUGGGGAAUAUUGCACAAUGGGCGCAAGCCUGAUGCAGCAACGCCGCGUGAGGGAUGACGGCCUUCGGGUUGUAAACCUCUUUUAGCAGGGAAGAAGCGAAAGUGACGGUACCUGCAGAAAAAGCGCCGGCUAACUACGUGCCAGCAGCCGCGGUAAUACGUAGGGCGCAAGCGUUAUCCGGAAUUAUUGGGCGUAAAGAGCUCGUAGGCGGUUUGUCGCGUCUGCUGUGAAAUCCCGAGGCUCAACCUCGGGUCUGCAGUGGGUACGGGCAGACUAGAGUGCGGUAGGGGAGAUUGGAAUUCCUGGUGUAGCGGUGGAAUGCGCAGAUAUCAGGAGGAACACCGAUGGCGAAGGCAGAUCUCUGGGCCGUAACUGACGCUGAGGAGCGAAAGGGUGGGGAGCAAACAGGCUUAGAUACCCUGGUAGUCCACCCCGUAAACGUUGGGAACUAGUUGUGGGGUCCAUUCCACGGAUUCCGUGACGCAGCUAACGCAUUAAGUUCCCCGCCUGGGGAGUACGGCCGCAAGGCUAAAACUCAAAGGAAUUGACGGGGACCCGCACAAGCGGCGGAGCAUGCGGAUUAAUUCGAUGCAACGCGAAGAACCUUACCAAGGCUUGACAUAUACGAGAACGCUGCAGAAAUGUAGAACUCUUUGGACACUCGUAAACAGGUGGUGCAUGGUUGUCGUCAGCUCGUGUCGUGAGAUGUUGGGUUAAGUCCCGCAACGAGCGCAACCCUCGUUCUAUGUUGCCAGCACGUAAUGGUGGGAACUCAUGGGAUACUGCCGGGGUCAACUCGGAGGAAGGUGGGGAUGACGUCAAAUCAUCAUGCCCCUUAUGUCUUGGGCUUCACGCAUGCUACAAUGGCCGGUACAAAGGGCUGCAAUACCGUAAGGUGGAGCGAAUCCCAAAAAGCCGGUCCCAGUUCGGAUUGAGGUCUGCAACUCGACCUCAUGAAGUCGGAGUCGCUAGUAAUCGCAGAUCAGCAACGCUGCGGUGAAUACGUUCCCGGGUCUUGUACACACCGCCCGUCAAGUCAUGAAAGUCGGUAACACCUGAAGCCGGUGGCCCAACCCU